CCGUAGCGGUAAACGCGCAGCUUUUCAGCAAGACCAAGCUGAGGGUCGUGGGUUCAAAUCCCACCGG
Aedes aegypti (yellow fever mosquito) is the source of this 67-nucleotide non-coding RNA. The record is from Rfam. NCBI's taxonomy places the organism in Eukaryota, Metazoa, Arthropoda, Insecta, Diptera, Culicidae.